GCUCGCAGGAGGUGGGGGCACGGAGCGGCGAUAGAGCUAUAGCUCAGCUGCAGCAAACAUCAUUGUGCGAGCGGAGGGGAGACGAAUCCGCCGGCAGUGCGCGAAUACGCACGGACCCCUGGCAACACGGAGAGCCUUGCGCUUCCCUGCCCGUUGAACCGUACAGGAAUGGUGAGGGGUGCCAGACAGACACAGCCGUGGACAGACAGAGUGGGAAUCACAAGCCGUCCCCUCAGACAUCAGGUAGAGAGAUUUACCAUUCGCUUCAACUGAACCCUGCUCUCCAAUUGACCUUAGGAACCUUCUGACACCCGUGCUCUCCUAUUGGGCUGUGCUGGAGGCCUGCGCUGAGACUACAAACUGUGUUGGGAUUUUGUAAUCACCUCAAUGGACUGCAACACAUACUGAACACUGGAGGCUUGAGCUGAAUGAGGU
Paramisgurnus dabryanus is the source of this 435-nucleotide non-coding RNA. NCBI's taxonomy places the organism in Eukaryota, Metazoa, Chordata, Actinopteri, Cypriniformes, Cobitidae. The record is from RefSeq and is a predicted model, not a curated record.